ACGUUUGUUCUAUAUGCAAAUAGUAUCUUUUUAAAAAUAAUUGCAUUUGAAAUAAUUAGAUUUAACACAGAUGAAAACAUGAAAAGCUAUUCCAUUGUUAGCAACUCUUGAAUUACUAGAGAUUAGUGUCAACUUAUUUUAUGAAAUAAAUUUCUGUUUGAAUCUAUGACAGUCAUUCUCUAUAGCCUUCUUUAAUUUCUCUCCAAAACUAGAAAGUGCCCUGAGAAGAAUUAUCUCUCCUUCUCUCCAGGUCUGACUCCCUGUGAACUUCUCCUGUCUUCACAGCUAUUAUGCACUUGAUUUCAUUUUCAUAGCUAUCUGAUCCUGCUGUUGGUUUCUCAGCUGACUUACAGCUGGGGUUGAACAAUGCAACUGCCCGAUGCUGUUAGCAUUGCAUUUUCAUACAAUGUCUCUCUGUUGGUUUGCCUCAGGUGUUGUGGGAAAUCUUCUAAAAGGAAACUUAUCAGGUGUUCCCUAACUGUAGCUACCAACCAACUCUGAUAACAACACAUCUUUCUAAGUACUAAAUUUCUAGAUUUUUAAUUUAUUGGGACUGUCAUUGCUGCAAUAAUAUUCCAAUAAAGUACAAGAAUUUGGAAACUACAGUCUUGUAGUUUCUGUGCCUCUUUUGUGAACACUUCAAGUAGUCUUUUGAUACUUUUUUCGCUUUACAUUUCCUAACUGAAAGUCAAUUAGCCUUACUCAGUGAAGAACUUUAAGAUUAUAAUUUUGUAAAAUAACAAUCACUCUGAUGAGCAUAACUAUGACCAAGUCAUAUCAAAAUAAUAAGGCUCAAUUUGGGCAAAGAAAUAAAUUAUUUUCCCAAAUCAUGAGAAAUUUCUGAUGAAUAGUUCAUGAGAAACAGAAGCAAUGAACUUAUGCAUAAAGAUUCUAUUUGAAUUAAUCUCAACUACAUAAAUGUUCCUUACUAAAUCUAACUUUUGAUAAUGGACAAGAAAGUAGGAAGCAAGAGAAAUGGCUUCUAUAGACCUAACUGGAGACUUACCAAAGACAAACCAAUGGAGAGAAUGAUGGAAAGUCACAUUGUGUGGGAAGUAUGCUCUGUGCGAUGGUACCCUCCAUUUACACCACCAGCCAAGCUCUCCUUGAUCACACAACAGGAAAGCUCACAGCCAGAUUAAGAUGCUGAAAUCACGGGGUUUAAUCAAUUAAAACAUACAACAAGCAGCAAGGGGAUGCAGACCACACAUAUGUCCCGUUUCUCUUGGGCUUCACCUUCCUGUGGAUGCUGUGAUUACUCGGCCAGAGAUGGGCUCUGAGCCAGUGACCCCAGUAAUGGGAGAUUUCAGGGACCCAGACACACACUUGCUUUGUGGGAGGGACACAAGGCACUACAGCCAUGGGCCAGUUAGCCUGAUGAGCAGCUGUGGAAUGAAUAUCACUGAUGAGCAGCCAAUUUUAGGGCCUCGUGAAUAUUGGGGGCCUAAUAAAAAUCUUCUGUAUAUUUUGUA
Molecule: long non-coding RNA, 1472 nt
Filed under: Equus caballus (horse)
Lineage: Eukaryota; Metazoa; Chordata; Mammalia; Perissodactyla; Equidae
Description: lncRNA (ENSECAG00000045981.1)
Source: RNAcentral